Telopea speciosissima is the source of this 405-nucleotide long non-coding RNA. RefSeq lists it as uncharacterized. The transcript has 2 exons. The record is from RefSeq and is a predicted model, not a curated record. NCBI's taxonomy places the organism in Eukaryota, Viridiplantae, Streptophyta, Magnoliopsida, Proteales, Proteaceae.
AUGUUGCAAUUUUCAAGAAUGAUUUCUUUGUUAGGUUUUUGUUUCGAUUUGAGUUGUCCUUUGUAGCCAUAGCUCUAGCAUGUUCUGUUCUCCAAAAACAGAUGCAAUAGUGACGCGGGCAGUAUCUAUACCCUUAACACGAAAAUUCAAUAGACAAGAAUAUUUCGACGGACUUGUCUUUGGGUCCUAAACGUCAUGCUUUCCAUAUAGGAUUCUUCUUUUAAUUUUUCUAUCAGUCUAUCUGCUUUCUCUUUUCCCAAAAAUGCUAAAUUACUGCCUACUACAUUUUCUUGCAGCCAUGGGUGAUGACUAGGCCUUUCUGCUAACAUCUGUGCGGUGGUAUUGUAUUGUUAAACACCGACAAACUGUUGCAGUGUUGCUUUUGAAGUACAACCCCCUCCCCCC